GUGCUUGCUUUGACAGCACAUACACUUAAAGAUUGGAAUGAUACAGAGAAGAUUAGCAUGGCCCCUGUGCAAGGAAGACACACAGAUUUUUUUUUUUUUUUU
Small nuclear RNA from Oryctolagus cuniculus (rabbit), 102 nucleotides. NCBI's taxonomy places the organism in Eukaryota, Metazoa, Chordata, Mammalia, Lagomorpha, Leporidae. The record is from Ensembl.